This 73-nucleotide transfer RNA is filed under the name Candidatus Roizmanbacteria bacterium. RNAcentral's name for it is "tRNA-Met". It matches the Rfam family "tRNA". From Rfam's summary of the family: Transfer RNA (tRNA) molecules are approximately 80 nucleotides in length. Lineage: Bacteria; Candidatus Roizmaniibacteriota. The record is from RNAcentral.
GCGGGAUAUGGAAGUGGUCUAUCCGCCAAGCCUCAUAAACUCGGAAUCGUGGGUUCAAAUCCCACUCCCGCUA